GACGAACGCUGGCGGCGUGCUUAACACAUGCAAGUCGAACGGAAAGGCCCUGCUUUUGUGGGGUGCUCGAGUGGCGAACGGGUGAGUAACACGUGAGUAACCUGCCCUUGACUUUGGGAUAACUUCAGGAAACUGGGGCUAAUACCGGAUAGGAGCUCCUGCUGCAUGGUGGGGGUUGGAAAGUUUCGGCGGUUGGGGAUGGACUCGCGGCUUAUCAGCUUGUUGGUGGGGUAGUGGCUUACCAAGGCUUUGACGGGUAGCCGGCCUGAGAGGGUGACCGGCCACAUUGGGACUGAGAUACGGCCCAGACUCCUACGGGAGGCAGCAGUGGGGAAUAUUGCACAAUGGGCGGAAGCCUGAUGCAGCAACGCCGCGUGCGGGAUGACGGCCUUCGGGUUGUAAACCGCUUUCGCCUGUGACGAAGCGUGAGUGACGGUAAUGGGUAAAGAAGCACCGGCUAACUACGUGCCAGCAGCCGCGGUGAUACGUAGGGUGCGAGCGUUGUCCGGAUUUAUUGGGCGUAAAGGGCUCGUAGGUGGUUGAUCGCGUCGGAAGUGUAAUCUUGGGGCUUAACCCUGAGCGUGCUUUCGAUACGGGUUGACUUGAGGAAGGUAGGGGAGAAUGGAAUUCCUGGUGGAGCGGUGGAAUGCGCAGAUAUCAGGAGGAACACCAGUGGCGAAGGCGGUUCUCUGGGCCUUUCCUGACGCUGAGGAGCGAAAGCGUGGGGAGCGAACAGGCUUAGAUACCCUGGUAGUCCACGCUGUAAACGGUGGGUACUAGGUGUGGGGUCCAUUCCACGGGUUCCGUGCCGUAGCUAACGCUUUAAGUACCCCGCCUGGGGAGUACGGCCGCAAGGCUAAAACUCAAAGGAAUUGACGGGGCCCCGCACAAGCGGCGGAGCAUGCGGAUUAAUUCGAUGCAACGCGUAGAACCUUACCUGGGUUUGACAUGGAUCGGGAGUGCUCAGAGAUGGGUGUGCCUCUUUUGGGGUCGGUUCACAGGUGGUGCAUGGCUGUCGUCAGCUCGUGUCGUGAGAUGUUGGGUUAAGUCCCGCAACGAGCGCAACCCUUGUUCACUGUUGCCAGCACGUUAUGGUGGGGACUCAGUGGAGACCGCCGGGGUCAACUCGGAGGAAGGUGGGGAUGACGUCAAGUCAUCAUGCCCCUUAUGUCCAGGGCUUCACGCAUGCUACAAUGGCUGGUACAGAGAGUGGCGAGCCUGUGAGGGUGAGCGAAUCUCGGAAAGCCGGUCUCAGUUCGGAUUGGGGUCUGCAACUCGACCUCAUGAAGUCGGAGUCGCUAGUAGUCGCAGAUCAGCAACGCUGCGGUGAAUACGUUCCCGGG
Molecule: ribosomal RNA, 1343 nt
Filed under: uncultured bacterium
Lineage: Bacteria
Description: 16S ribosomal RNA
Rfam family: Bacterial small subunit ribosomal RNA
Source: RNAcentral